RNAcentral lists this ribosomal RNA (383 nucleotides) under uncultured bacterium. Its description in RNAcentral is "bacterial SSU rRNA". It matches the Rfam family "Bacterial small subunit ribosomal RNA", at positions 28 to 414 of the family's 1533-position model. The record is from RNAcentral.
GACGAACGCUGGCGGCGUGCUUCAUACAUGCAAGUCGAACGAGAAUCUGACUUCGGUCAGAGGAAAGUGGCGGACGGGUGAGUAAUAUGUAGGAAAUCUGCCUUUAGGAGGGGGACAACAGAGGGAAACUUCUGCUAAUACCCCAUAUGAGCUAAGUUGAAAUACUUAUCUUGAAAACUCCGGUGCCUAAAGAUGAGCCUGCAUCUGAUUAGCUUGUUGGUGGUGUAAUGGACUACCAAGGCGACGAUCAGUAGCUGGUUUGAGAGGAUGAUCAGCCACAACGGGACUGAGACACGGCCCAUACUCCUACGGGAGGCAGCAGUAGGGAAUUUUACGCAAUGGGCGAAAGACCUGACGCAGCAACGCCGCGUGAACGAUUAAGA